AUUGAACGCUGGCGGCAGGCCUAACACAUGCAAGUCGAGCGGAUGCAGGGAGCUUGCUCCUGGAUUCAGCGGCGGACGGGUGAGUAAUGCCUAGGAAUCUGCCUGGUAGUGGGGGAUAACGUCCGGAAACGGGCGCUAAUACCGCAUACGUCCUGAGGGAGAAAGUGGGGGAUCUUCGGACCUCACGCUAUCAGAUGAGCCUAGGUCGGAUUAGCUAGUUGGUGGGGUAAAGGCCUACCAAGGCGACGAUCCGUAACUGGUCUGAGAGGAUGAUCAGUCACACUGGAACUGAGACACGGUCCAGACUCCUACGGGAGGCAGCAGUGGGGAAUAUUGGACAAUGGGCGAAAGCCUGAUCCAGCCAUGCCGCGUGUGUGAAGAAGGUCUUCGGAUUGUAAAGCACUUUAAGUGGGGAGGAAGGGCAGUAAGUUAAUACCUUGCUGUUUUGACGUUACCAACAGAAUAAGCACCGGCUAACUUCGUG
Molecule: ribosomal RNA, 484 nt
Filed under: uncultured bacterium
Lineage: Bacteria
Description: partial 16S ribosomal RNA
Rfam family: Bacterial small subunit ribosomal RNA
Source: RNAcentral